Molecule: ribosomal RNA, 253 nt
Filed under: uncultured bacterium
Lineage: Bacteria
Description: partial 16S ribosomal RNA
Rfam family: Bacterial small subunit ribosomal RNA
Source: RNAcentral
UACGAAGGGGGCGAGCGUUGUUCGGAAUUACUGGGCGUAAAGGGCGCGUAGGCGGCCGAUCAAGUCAGAUGUGAAAGUCCUGGGCUUAACCUGGGGACUGCAUUUGAUACUGAUUGGCUUGAAUGCAGGAGAGGAUAGCGGAAUUCCCAGUGUAGAGGUGAAAUUCGUAGAUAUCGGGAAGAACACCGGUGGCGAAGGCGGCUCUCUGGACCGAUACUGACGCUGAGGCGCGAAAGCGUGGGGAGCAAACAGG